CAGCAGCCGCGGGAAUACAGAGGGUGCGAGCGUUAAUCGGAUUUACUGGGCGUAAAGCGUGCGUAGGCGGCUUUUUAAGUCGGAUGUGAAAUCCCUGAGCUUAACUUAGGAAUUGCAUUCGAUACUGGGAAGCUAGAGUAUGGGAGAGGAUGGUAGAAUUCCAGGUGUAGCGGUGAAAUGCGUAGAGAUCUGGAGGAAUACCGAUGGCGAAGGCAGCCAUCUGGCCUAAUACUGACGCUGAGGUACGAAAGCAUGGGGAGCAAACAGGAUUAGAUACCUGGGUAGUCCCUGUCUCUUAUAA
RNAcentral lists this ribosomal RNA (301 nucleotides) under uncultured bacterium. RNAcentral describes it as "partial 16S ribosomal RNA". It matches the Rfam family "Bacterial small subunit ribosomal RNA", at positions 509 to 809 of the family's 1533-position model. The record is from RNAcentral.